RNAcentral lists this long non-coding RNA (886 nucleotides) under Junco hyemalis (dark-eyed junco). Its description in RNAcentral is "lncRNA (ENSJHYG00000001608.1)". Lineage: Eukaryota; Metazoa; Chordata; Aves; Passeriformes; Passerellidae. The record is from RNAcentral.
GCUGUGCAUACACAGACACAUUCACCUUUGUUUUUUUUCUUUUGUAGGAAAGAAAGAUUUCCUCUGUGUGCCCUCGUAUCUGUGUAUUUCCUAUGAGAUUCACUCACCUUGAGCAGUUUUUGCACAAAGCAGCCCUGACAGUCAUUAGCCAAGUGGGUGAGUCAAGGAGUUCUCUCUCCAGGGACAGCCUGAGGGAGGACAGGCUCUCUCUAAAGUGAAGUUCCCUCUUUUUGAGGAUUUUUAAACACCUGAAGGCCUGGUUGACUCCUGCAUAGAGACUGCACAAUAGACACUGCAGCUGAAGCAUUGCUAAUUCAACAGCAGGGAAGAAUCUAAUUGUUUGUUGCUCUGGUGACUGCCAUGAUGACUAUGCAAACACGUUUUCCCCUCCCUCUCUCCAGGUUCUGUGCCCUUUGAUUGUCCCUGAGGACUUUUCUGAUUGAAGUUCAGCUGCUAUUCAUUUGCAUGAGUCAUCUCACUGGAUGACAAGGUACCCAGUUGGACCAAUCCAGAGCAGGCACCUUGCACUGAGGUAUGCACGUGGAGGGAGCAGUCUUCAAAUAAGAGAUGAAGAGGAGGUGGCUGAUUUUCCAAGAACCCCUCUAGAACAUGGCAAAAUGUGCUAUGCUUCCCACUUCCAGGCUGACCUGGUUCCCCUGGAAUGAGAGAGUAUCCUCCAAAGGAAACACGUGGUGGUGGUGCUGGGGAGGGGAUGCUCCCUGAACAUCCAGGCUGGAGCUUGUGAGGCUGUUGGGUCUCAGGGCACUGACACUGUGAGGUGUCACUGAGCAGCAGACUGCCCUGAAUGUAGGGGGGUAGAUGCAGAGCUGAAGCUGGGGUGGUGGUGGGGAAUAAAUGAUAACUUAAUAUUUGAGAGGUAAGUGUU